RNAcentral lists this ribosomal RNA (253 nucleotides) under uncultured bacterium. RNAcentral describes it as "partial 16S ribosomal RNA". It matches the Rfam family "Bacterial small subunit ribosomal RNA", at positions 524 to 776 of the family's 1533-position model. The record is from RNAcentral.
UACGGGGGGGGCAAGCGUUGUUCGGAAUUACUGGGCGUAAAGGGCUUGUAGGCGGCCAACUAAGUCCGACGUGAAAUCCCCAGGCUUAACCUGGGAACUGCGUCGGAUACUGGAUGGCUUGAAUUCGGGAGAGGGAUGCAGAAUUCCAGGUGUAGCGGUGAAAUGCGUAGAUAUGUGGAGGAACACCGAUGGCGAAGGCAGCCCCCUGGGCUAACACUGACGCUGAUGCGCGAAAGCGUGGGGAGCGAUCCGG